This 190-nucleotide non-coding RNA is filed under the name Eggerthia catenaformis. RNAcentral describes it as "T-box sequence". It matches the Rfam family "T-box leader". From Rfam's summary of the family: Uncharged tRNA acts as the effector for transcription antitermination of genes in the T-box leader family. The record is from RNAcentral. Lineage: Bacteria; Bacillati; Bacillota; Erysipelotrichia; Erysipelotrichales; Coprobacillaceae.
UCAUAUUCAGUGAAAAAGAUUAAAUAGUAAAUCUUUUAUAGAGACAUUAUGGCUGGUGGAAAUAAUGAUAGAAAUACUAUGGGACACUUUGGAGAAUGCUCUAAACAAGCACGUUAUCUCGCGUUAAGAGAAUAAAGUGUGUAUUGAAAAAUACAAACUAAGGUGGUACCGCGUGAAUGACGUCCUUAGA